Molecule: ribosomal RNA, 468 nt
Filed under: uncultured bacterium
Lineage: Bacteria
Description: partial 16S ribosomal RNA
Rfam family: Bacterial small subunit ribosomal RNA
Source: RNAcentral
GACGAACGCUGGCGGCGUGCUUAACACAUGCAAGUCGAACGGAAAGGCCCUGCUUUUGUGGGGUGCUCGAGUGGCGAACGGGUGAGUAACACGUGAGUAACCUGCCCUUGACUUUGGGAUAACUUCAGGAAACUGGGGCUAAUACCGGAUAGGAGCUCCUGCUGCAUGGUGUGGGUUGGAAAGUUUCGGCGGUUGGGGAUGGACUCGCGGCUUAUCAGCUUGUUGGUGGGGUAGUGGCUUACCAAGGCUUUGACGGGUAGCCGGCCUGAGAGGGUGACCGGCCACAUUGGGACUGAGAUACGGCCCAGACUCCUACGGGAGGCAGCAGUGGGGAAUAUUGCACAGUGGGCGGAAGCCUGAUGCAGCAACGCCGCGUGCGGGAUAACGGCCUUCGGGUUGUAAACCGCUUUCGCCUGUGACGAAGCGUGAGUGACGGUAAUGGGUAAAGAAGCACCGGCUAACUACGUG